UUUCUCGCUUCUGUAAAAUGCUUCCCCCUGCACAGAUCUCCCCCAACCCCACAAAAUGCUUAAAAGAUAACUUAGCUCUUUGUUCAGGGCUCAGUCCUUUGGAUGUAAUCCGACUAGGCCAGUGAACCUAAAUAAUAAAUAUCCUCCUCAACCCCUCGGUCUCCCUGAUUCUUUAAAAUAUCCUGCAACAUUUCUGGAGGCUUAUCUGGGUUUGGAGAUGAUAGAUUUACUGUCUCCUUUGCCCGGGGCUAGGGGAGACCCAGCAUUCAAGGCGCGCCAUGAGGGGGCUUCACCUGGAUGGAGACCAGCUCUCCCCAUGUCCUGGUGCCCUGCCCAGCAGUGCAACGGAACUGGGGACAGAGCUACAGGACAAUACCAGCACUUCAGGAACCAUGUUGCAGGUGUCACACUUUGGAUUCACCAUAGUCGGCUGAAACCAGUGGCAGCAGUGACUCCCAACGACGACCAGUGGAUUAGCCAACAAGACCCAGAUUGCCCCACCUGAAUAGUCCCCUGGUGAAACCCAACCACCGGUAAGAAGGACAACUGCCCUGCUCUGACCACACUGGAGGCUGGUCAGUCUAUGCACGGCUGAAGCUUGAGGAUCCUGCAAGCUCUGCUCUAGUCACAUCCUGGAAGCUGACUAGUCUACGCACAGCCAAAGCUAAGAGGACCAUCUCCGGAUAAGUAAAUGUGGAUACAAUUUAUAAGCCUAGUUAUAAUUCUGUCAAUACUGAUUGUUCUGUUGUUAUGUUAUUACUGCAAAUACUGCAAACGUCUAUGCCCAGAGGAAGGUUUGCCAUGCCCAUGUGUAGUGUAAGCAUGUUUCUAUUACAUACACUGAUGUUGUUACCAUUUCUGCCUAUACUAGAAGGGGAGAAAUCCCUAGAAGAAUGCCUGUGUACACACUACCUGGAUAAGGAAUACCCUAGUUAAACCUCUACUGUGCCAUACUGACUAUGAAUGUACAGGAACCAAGUUAGGAACCUGCACAUACAACCAGAAACAGUCUGCAAUAGUUUAACACAAGAGAGACUUAGCAGCAACAGUCCUAAACAUCUGUACAGAAAACCACAAAUCAGAUGUCGAGACUGUACAUUCAGUGGUCUUUGCUAACACAGCUCCAACACUUACAUUCAGGAAGGACUGCUCUGCUAAUUAGUAUGUCAACCAAACCAGAUUGUAAGACAAGAACAUGCAAUCCUUUAAAUUUUACUAUCUUAAAGCCAGAGCUACCUUCUUGGUCUACAUGACAGAUGACACUAUUAUGAGUUGAUAGACAAGGAGCAGACCUUGGAGUUCCACUACUAAUUGUCAAAAAGACUAGAAGGACUCAAAUGUAUCCAACCCCACAAUUCUAGGUCCGUAAGUCACUCUAUAAGCAUUUUGAUCAGUCAGUGCUGGAGCUUCCCCCAUCAACCAAAAACUUAUUUGCUCAACUAGCUGAAAACAAAGCUGGCAGCUUAGGAAUUUCCUCAUGCUAUGUAUGUAGAAGAACUAAUAUGGAAGACCAGUGGCCAUGGGAGGCAAAGGAAUUAAUGCCACAAGAUCCCUUCGCUUAACACUGCUAGUGAACCAACAGCCUCAUCCAGUGUUUGGUUGUCAAAUACCUCCAUAAUUGGAAAGUACUGUAUCACCCGAUGAGGAAAGGCUUUCACAGAGGCAGUGUGAGAAACAACCUGCCUAGGACAACAGUAUUAUGAUGAGACUAAAAACAAAACUCUAUGGAGAAAUGCCCAGAAUGACUCCUACUUAAUAGAUCCAAACCCUUUCUCUCAAUUCUCUAGUCUAAGCCACACUUGGCAUCAGCUAGAGGCUCCUAAUGCUUGAAAGGCACCCUCUGGCCUAUAUUGGAUCUGUGGAGCACAGUCAUAUCAGCAACUGCCAGCUAAAUGGACAGGGGCAUGUGUGUUAGGAACAAUCAAGCCAUCAUUCUUUCUAAUUCCUCUAAAGCAAGAGGAACUCUUAGGAUAUCCAGUUUAUGAUAAAAAUAAAAAAACAACUAGAAGCAUAAUCACAAAAAUAGACACAAAUAUCAAAAAGGAUGUGGACAUAGGAAACUAGAAAGAUAAUAAAUGGUCUCCUGAAAGAAUCAUUAAAUGUUAUGGGCCAGCUACCUAGGUGCAAGAUGGGUCAUGGAGGUACUGUACCCCCAUCUAUAUGCUCAACCGCAUCAUAAGGUUGCAGGCAGUCCUUGAAAUUAUAACCAAUGAAACCUCAAGGGCACUAGAUUUAUUGGCAAUACAAGCAACACAAAUGAGGCAUGCCAUAUAUCAAAAUAGGCUGGGUUUAGAUUACCUAUUAGCCUCAGAAGGAGGAGUAUGUGAAAAUUUUAAUUUAACCAACUGUUGCCUAGAAAUUGAUGAUAAUGACCGAGCUGUCAUGGAAAUCACAGCUAGAAUGCACGAGUUCACCCAUGUUCCAGUUCAAACUUGAUCUGGGUGGUCCCUGGAUUCCUUGUUUGGAGGAUGGUUCUCAACCUUAAAAAAAAAAAUUAAAACCCUCAUUGGUGGGUUCUUGCUUAUUUUUGGCAUCUGCCUCAUCCUCCCUUGCCUUUUACCUCUGUUUAUUAGGAGUAUUCAGUCAACUAUAGAGGCAAUAGUAACCAAAAAAACUACCGUGCAGUUGAUAGCAUUAACCAGAUUAUCAGCCACUGCCAGUAGAAUAAGAAGCACAGCCCUGUGAAGAGGUGACAGUGGUGCUUUCUGUUAACAUCUUUGUUAUAAAAAGCACCAAAAGGAGGAAUAGAACAGGAAUAAAAAGAAAUUAAAGAAUGUGUAAAGAGAAACUCGGUUGUAUGUAUGAGAAAGAGAAAGAGCUGGAGUCCUUUAAAAAUUAACUGCCUGUUUUUCUGUGGCUAGUGAGCCUUAUCUCACCCUUUCCCAGGCAUUGUGAAGACUCUGUUUCUCUAGCUGUGCAGCUGCAAGGUCACUAGACAGAUAAACUCAAGUUGUAAAACAUGUUUUUCCUUGAAAAGUAAGAAAUGAUGUAAUGCAUGUUUCAAUUAAUUGAAUAACUGUCUUUGUUUCUCACUUCUGCAAUGUGCUUCCCCCUGCACAGAUCUCCCCCUGCCCCACAAAAUGCUUAAAAGGUGACUUAGCUCUUUGUUCAGGGCUCCGUCCUUUGGAUGUAAAUCUGACUGGGUCGGUGCACCUAAAUAAUAAAUAUCCUCCUCAA
This is a long non-coding RNA of Gorilla gorilla gorilla (western lowland gorilla), 3177 nucleotides long. RefSeq lists it as uncharacterized. NCBI's taxonomy places the organism in Eukaryota, Metazoa, Chordata, Mammalia, Primates, Hominidae. The record is from RefSeq and is a predicted model, not a curated record. The transcript has 2 exons.